Molecule: long non-coding RNA, 846 nt
Organism: Lutra lutra (Eurasian river otter)
Lineage: Eukaryota; Metazoa; Chordata; Mammalia; Carnivora; Mustelidae
Exons: 3
Source: RefSeq, a predicted model, not a curated record
UUUUUUUUAACUGAAGAUAAGAAUAUCAAAUUCUUUUUUAUGUUGAUCUAGUGAAUGAACACUGGUAUCCUUACUCAACUGUAAGCCAGAAUAUCUUGAAAGCCAAAAAGUUGAUAAACCUAGAAAUCUGAAAAGUUCUUCAUACAGGCUUUUAAAAAUCAUAGGUACUAAAAAAACAACAACAAAAAACAUGGCAGGAAGGUGAGGAUUGGGUGCCGGUAGAUGAUUACCUUCUACAUAAGAAAAAAAUUGAGAUUACUAUAGCACCUAUCAUUGCCUGGCAGCAACUAACAAUAUCAAAAAUGCUAUUGUUGAUUACAAUUUAACUCUCACAAAAUGACUCCAGUCUUACAAAACAACUCAGCAUGGAAGAUGGAAGAAAUGCAUUUCUACCCACCAAUACAUAUGUCUGUGGAGGAGGAGCCAUGUGAGGUAGAAAACUAUGGGAGUGAGCCUGGCAGCAGAUUCUUCAGCCCCAGUCUGACCUUGAGAUGACUGCAACCUUGGGGAAGACCUUGAGCCACAGGUACCCCACUAAGAGGUCUGGACUCCUGGCUGGUAGAAACUUGUUUUCCAUUGGCCCUCAUGGGUUGCCUACCAAGGCACCUGCCCAGCUGACCAUCCCUUCCCUUGACUUUGAUUCUGAGGGGAGCUAGAGUGGAGCACAGAGCUACCCUCAUCUGAGAACUGAGAAGCAAAGCCUCAGAAUAGAACUUUGUGAAGUUGCUGUAAACUUUUGGGAAACAAGGUAUGUGGGGGACUAUUUGGAAUGAGUUAGCACAUGGGACCGGUUGGAAUUUAAGAUAAGUCUUUAUGAAAGCAAAUGUCAAGGAAGGUUGGAAAGGA